This 544-nucleotide ribosomal RNA is filed under the name uncultured archaeon. RNAcentral's name for it is "bacterial SSU rRNA". It matches the Rfam family "Archaeal small subunit ribosomal RNA", at positions 326 to 872 of the family's 1478-position model. The record is from RNAcentral.
CGGGGCGCAGCAGGCGCGAAAACUGCACAAUGCUGGAAACAGCGAUGCGGGAAUUCCAAGUGCCGGCACUAAGUGUCGGCUGUUCCAUUGUCUAAAAAGCAUAGGAAGUAAGGGCUGGGUAAGACGGGUGCCAGCCGCCGCGGUAAUACCUGCAGCCCGAGUGGUGGCCGUUAUUAUUGGGCCUAAAACGUCCGUAGCCUGUUUGGUAGAUGCCUGUGUAAAUCGAACGGCUUAACCGUUCGAACUGCGGGUAGACCGCCAGACUUGGGACCGGGAGAGUCACGAAGUACUCCGGGGGUAGAGGUGAAAUUCUGUAAUCCUCGGGGGACUACCGGUGGCGAAGGCGUCGUGAUAGAACGGCUCCGACGGUGAGGGACGAAGCCCUGGGGCGCAAACCGGAUUAGAUACCCGGGUAGUCCAGGGUGUAAACGCUGCGGUCUUGGUGUCGGCAGUCCUACGGGGGCAGCCGGUGCCGGAGAGAAGUUGUUAAGACCGCUGCCUGGGGAGUACGGCCGCAAGGUUGAAACUCAAAGGAAUUGACGGA